RNAcentral lists this ribosomal RNA (442 nucleotides) under Ophryotrocha sp. n. 14 JP-2021. Its description in RNAcentral is "partial large subunit ribosomal RNA". It matches the Rfam family "Bacterial large subunit ribosomal RNA", at positions 1837 to 2605 of the family's 2925-position model. The record is from RNAcentral. Lineage: Eukaryota; Metazoa; Annelida; Polychaeta; Eunicida; Dorvilleidae.
UAUCAAAAUUACUAGGUGCCGCCUGCCCAGUGAAAUUUUAACGGCCGCUCUUGUGCUAAGGUAGCAUAAUAACUUGCCUUUUAAUUGGAGGCUUGCAUGAAUGGACCUUUAAGUUAAAUCUUUAUUCCCGCCAACCGUAUAACUUAAGUAUUAUGUGCAAACUCAUAAUUUAUUAUAAAAGACCAAAAGACCCCGGGAACUUCAAUUUGACUCUUUCCAAAAAAAUACAAAUUUACACCGGGAGAGUGAAGGAUAUACAUCCUAAUCUUAUAAUUAUUUGCCUUAAAAAUUUAUACUAAAGCUACCCCGGGGAUAACAGGCUACUCUUUUUUAAAAGUUCAAAUUAACAAAAAGAUCUAGCACCUCGAUGUUGGCUUAAGAGUACAUAAGAUGUAGCAGUUUUAUUUAAUGGCUUGUUCCGCCAAUAGUUUCUUACGUGAUC